This 407-nucleotide ribosomal RNA is filed under the name uncultured bacterium. RNAcentral describes it as "partial 16S ribosomal RNA". It matches the Rfam family "Bacterial small subunit ribosomal RNA", at positions 30 to 526 of the family's 1533-position model. The record is from RNAcentral.
AUUGAACGCUGGCGGCAGGCCUAACACAUGCAAGUCGAGCGGAGCGGCGGACGGGCGAGUAAUGCCUAGGAAUCUGCCUGGUAGUGGGGGAUAACUUCCGGAAACGGGCGCUAAUACCGCAUACUAUCAGAUGAGCCUAGGUCGGAUUAGCUAGUUGGUGGGGGAAAGGGCUACCAAGGCGACGAUCCGUAAAUGGUCUGAGAGGAUGAUCAGUCAAACUGGAACAGAGACACGGUCCAGAAUCCUACGGGAGGCAGCAGUGGGGAAUAGGGGACAAUGGGCGAAAGCCUGAUCCAGCCAUGCAGCGUGUGUGAAGAAGGUCUUCGGAUUGUAAAGCAAUUUAAGUUGGGAGGCGUUACCAACAGAAUAAGCACCGGCUAACUUCGUGCCAGCAGCCGCGGUAAUAC